RNAcentral lists this ribosomal RNA (253 nucleotides) under uncultured bacterium. RNAcentral describes it as "partial 16S ribosomal RNA". It matches the Rfam family "Bacterial small subunit ribosomal RNA", at positions 524 to 776 of the family's 1533-position model. The record is from RNAcentral.
GACAGAGGGUGCAAACGUUGUUCGGAAUUACUGGGCGUAAAGCGCGUGUAGGCGGCCAUCUAAGUCGGGCGUGAAAUCCCACGGCUCAACUGAGGAAGUGCACCCGAAACUGAGUAGCUGGAGUACGAAAGAGGGUCGCGGAAUUCCCGGUGUAGAGGUGAAAUUCGUAGAUAUCGGGAGGAACACCGGUGGCGAAGGCGGCGACCUGGGUCGAUACUGACGCUGAGGCGCGAAAGCGUGGGGAGCAAACAGG